Molecule: ribosomal RNA, 590 nt
Filed under: Lodderomyces parapsilosis
Lineage: Eukaryota; Fungi; Ascomycota; Pichiomycetes; Serinales; Debaryomycetaceae
Description: Candida parapsilosis partial large subunit ribosomal RNA
Rfam family: Eukaryotic large subunit ribosomal RNA
Source: RNAcentral
ACGGGGUAUUGCCUUAGUAGCGGCGAGUGAAGCGGCAAAAGCUCAAAUUUGAAAUCUGGCACUUUCAGUGUCCSAGUUGUAAUUUGAAGAAGGUAUCUUUGGGUCUGGCUCUUGUCUAUGUUUCUUGGAACAGAACGUCACAGAGGGUGAGAAUCCCGUGCGAUGAGAUGUCCCAGACCUAUGUAAAGUUCCUUCGAAGAGUCGAGUUGUUUGGGAAUGCAGCUCUAAGUGGGUGGUAAAUUCCAUCUAAAGCUAAAUAUUGGCGAGAGACCGAUAGCGAACAAGUACAGUGAUGGAAAGAUGAAAAGAACUUUGAAAAGAGAGUGAAAAAGUACGUGAAAUUGUUGAAAGGGAAGGGCUUGAGAUCAGACUUGGUAUUUUGUAUGUUACUCUCUCGGGGGUGGCCUCUACAGUUUACCGGGCCAGCAUCAGUUUGAGCGGUAGGAUAAGUGCAAAGAAAUGUGGCACUGCUUCGGUAGUGUGUUAUAGUCUUUGUCGAUACUGCCAGCUUAGACUGAGGACUGCGGCUUCGGCCUAGGAUGUUGGCAUAAUGAUCUUAAGUCGCCCGUCUUGAAACAMGGGACCCAAAA